Molecule: long non-coding RNA, 530 nt
Filed under: Meriones unguiculatus (Mongolian gerbil)
Lineage: Eukaryota; Metazoa; Chordata; Mammalia; Rodentia; Muridae
Description: lncRNA (ENSMUGG00000000561.1)
Source: RNAcentral
AGAAUGGGAGCUCUGACGUAGGAGGACAUCCGGUCUGCUUCAUACUGUGGGAGACUGGCCGUUUUUGCGCUCGGAAGACCUGACCGAUCUCCCUGGAGUUCUAGCCUGAGGGUUGGACUCGUCUCUGCGUCCUCGACUACCGCGAAAGAGGGUAAAAUGCCAGAGGGGGAAAAGACUGGUUCGAGGAAGAAGGCAGAGAACUGCUGAGAAUGGGAGAAACAACUCAGGACAUCAAGAAGCACUGUAGACUUAGCCCAGCACGCUUGCAAUGCUACAAUGGGAAAACAAAGUGUAUGAUGAAGUCUUCAGACUGUGUCAUCAACUAUGUUGGUGUGUAUACAGUACUGGCCUCACUAUGGUGGCUUGUUUCUGUGAUGAACAUACAAGGAGCAAGGUGUUUAAGCAAGAAAAGGGGAAACAACUUGUCCUAAAUGUGGACACGAAAUGCAGGAGACAAAGGAUCUCAGCAUGUCAAGUAAGGCUACCAAUGAGUGAUUUGCUUUCAUUCAUGCUUAGAAUAAAUUUACCAU